GUCAGGAUGGCCAAGCGGUCAAAGGUGCCAGACUCAAGGCUUUAUUCGUUACUCGCUUCAGAGGUUUCUGGUCUUUGAAAGGAGGUGUGGGUUCAAAGCCCACUCCUGAUA
Molecule: non-coding RNA, 111 nt
Organism: Ataeniobius toweri
Lineage: Eukaryota; Metazoa; Chordata; Actinopteri; Cyprinodontiformes; Goodeidae
Source: the annotation of a GenBank genome assembly